RNAcentral lists this ribosomal RNA (344 nucleotides) under uncultured bacterium. RNAcentral describes it as "bacterial SSU rRNA". It matches the Rfam family "Bacterial small subunit ribosomal RNA", at positions 8 to 334 of the family's 1533-position model. The record is from RNAcentral.
AGGGUUCGAUCAUGGCUCAGGACGAACGCUGGCGGCGUGCUUAACACAUGCAAGUCGAACGGAGCACCCUUGAUUGAGGUUUCGGCCAAAUGAUAGGAAUGCUUAGUGGCGGACUGGUGAGUAACGCGUGAGGAACCUGCCUCUCAGAGGGGGACAACAGUUGGAAACGACUGCUAAUACCGCAUGACACAUCGGAAGGGCAUCCUUCUGAUGUCAAAGAUUUAUCGCUGAGAGAUGGCCUCGCGUCUGAUUAGCUAGUUGGUGAGGUAACGGCCCACCAAGGCGACGAUCAGUAGCCGGACUGAGAGGUUGACCGGCCACAUUGGGACUGAGAUACGGCCCAG